Molecule: ribosomal RNA, 972 nt
Filed under: Triticum aestivum (bread wheat)
Lineage: Eukaryota; Viridiplantae; Streptophyta; Magnoliopsida; Poales; Poaceae
Description: partial small subunit ribosomal RNA
Source: RNAcentral
AUGAGGAGAUACAUCACCACUCACAAUAAUGCAGCGAAAAGGGAGAAGUGGAGCAGGGUUGCGUACGAGGUAACAAUAAACGAAGAUAUGUCGAUCUUCAGUUGCGAAUGCGGCCAGUUCGAGCAUACUGGCAUGCUUUGCAGCCAUUCGUUGAGGGUGAUGGAAAUUCUUCACAUGGAGGAGAUCCCCAAGCAUCAUAUCAUGAAGCGGUGGAUGAGGGAUGCGAGAGAUGUACUGCCUAGGCACCUGGUUCAGUACCAGAAAGACAGUUCGCAAAACCUGUCAUUCACAUGCAGGCAUGCAACUCUGUAUGUGAAAGCUAUGGAGGUCGUGAGGAUGAGAGACGCAAGUGUUGCAUCAUAUGAUCAUGUGAACGCGGCUCUCGACGCUGUGCUACAGAGUGGGGCAGCGAUUGCGGAGAAGAGGGAUGGGCUGGCUUUCGAGGAUCGGCUCGUUGAACAUACACCUGCAAUACCAGGACCAAAUGGGGAACUAGCGUUUGUCUCGCUGAGCAAUGAACAAUGCCGGAGCCCCGGUCAUUCUGUCAGUGUGAAUGCAAUGCAGAAACUAGCAGCUCCAGACAAGCAUAGAGGUGCUGGGAGACCGACAAGCAGCCGAGAGAAGGCUCCGUACGAGGGGUUAAGCAAGAGGACAAGAUUCUGCAGCAUAUGCCGUCGCGAGGGUCAUAAGAAGACGACGUGCCCAGAAAGGGGGGAUGCGCCGAAGAAGCCACGGAAACUUGGCAAAUGCAAGAACUGUGGAAUAGAAGGGCAUCGACGAAAUACAUGCAAGAGGCCGCUUGGGGUGCCGAGCCAUGAGUUGUAUGGAAUCGGACUUUCUCAUGUUUCAGUGAUUUGUUUGAAUGAUUUCCAUCGAGUGUUUACACUGGAUCAGCAAUGCAUCUGUACUUUUAGCAGUGUAGACAGCCUGUGUACGGCGAUGUAUCUGAGAGCACAAUCUUUCUUUCUGUAG